Molecule: ribosomal RNA, 513 nt
Filed under: uncultured bacterium
Lineage: Bacteria
Description: partial 16S ribosomal RNA
Rfam family: Bacterial small subunit ribosomal RNA
Source: RNAcentral
UGGGGAAUAUUGCACAAUGGGCGAAAGCCUGAUGCAGCAACGCCGCGUGAGUGAUGAAGGUCUUCGGAUUGUAAAGCUCUGUCUUUUGGGACGAUAAUGACGGUACCAAAGGAGGAAGCCACGGCUAACUACGUGCCAGCAGCCGCGGUAAUACGUAGGUGGCGAGCGUUGUCCGGAUUUACUGGGCGUAAAGGGUGCGUAGGCGGAUGUUUAAGUGAGAUGUGAAAUACCCGGGCUUAACUUGGGUGCUGCAUUUCAAACUGGAUAUCUAGAGUGCAGGAGAGGAGAAUGGAAUUCCUAGUGUAGCGGUGAAAUGCGUAGAGAUUAGGAAGAACACCAGUGGCGAAGGCGAUUCUCUGGACUGUAACUGACGCUGAGGCACGAAAGCGUGGGUAGCAAACAGGAUUAGAUACCCUGGUAGUCCACGCCGUAAACGAUGAGUACUAGGUGUAGGAGGUAUCGACCCCUUCUGUGCCGCAGUAAACACAUUAAGUACUCCGCCUGGGAAGUACG